Molecule: long non-coding RNA, 1505 nt
Organism: Ornithodoros turicata
Lineage: Eukaryota; Metazoa; Arthropoda; Arachnida; Ixodida; Argasidae
Exons: 2
Source: RefSeq, a predicted model, not a curated record
UGUUAUCCUAUCUCUGCAAUUUAAGCUAUAUUGUGAUCAUAUAAUAGUAGUGUUGCUCAGACUCUCAUGCGUCCCUCGGAGCCCGCUACCAUGUGUUGAAAUAGCUUGUUUGGAAACUUAAAAUUGCGCGUCGUUGUCGUCGCCAAUGUCAUAUUCCUUUUCUCUCGCCACGGCAUUGUUCGACAUUGUGCAGAAAAGGAAUGUCAGGCUCCCUUCUGGUAAUUCAUGCUGGUAGUUCAUGGUGAACAGUAGGAUUCAAGGGGAAGACGUCGAGCACUGAAGUGUUGCCUAUCAAGCAAAAACUAUUGUUUUCUGUUGGAAAAUCAGUGUGUAUUGGGUACAUAUCUGCUGUGCCGUGUGCACUUGGUGUUUUCUCGCUGAAAACCGUAAAAAUUCAAAUUGGGAGUAUAUUUACAUGUAAAGUUACUGAAAACAGUAAGUUGUGUUCCCUGUUGGGGCUUUUACAGACCUCCUUGCUGUCCACGCCCUGCGAAUACUGGGUUCGUGCGUGAAGGGUUCCGAAGCAAUAAAGAACAUGUUUGUGCAUUAUGAUACACCUGUGCCGGUGACACCGUGCAUCAUGUUCACUGGGAGCAGCAUUGAAGAAGCGGAGCAUAUGGACCUCUAUGUCGGCGAGUAGCGCCUUCUCAGAACUAUCGACCUUGAAGAGGGCUUGGCUGCCAUUCUUGCAGCUAUUGGUUAAUUCAUAUUGUCUACAGUGCAAAGCCGCACCGUACAUUUUGAAGCCUUGAAGAGCGGUGCCUGAAAGUGAGUGACUCUCGUGUAAGAAGCCCCGUGGAUCAAUUUUUUCAACAGUUACGGAAAAGAGCUUGUGGAUGCUUCGAACAUCUAAAACAUUUGCUACUUUAACUGACUUGUAGUGUGCCCUGCAUCCCCCCCUCCCCCGCCCACCUCCCAAACAGGCAGCCAUUUCGUCAAGGAAUUGGAAAUUCUUCGGAAGCACGGGUGUGUUCUUUCUUGUUCUUUGGCACUGAACUCUCAUAAGCCUGGGGGAUUACCAUUCUUCUGGCAAUGUAGCCGUCCAUUUGUCAACAUACCUGGCACAGCGCAUUACAUUUAGGGAAAUUACUUUGGGUAUUCUGUGCUUCCAUUUCUAGUCUUUAGUAUGUGCUCUUGUUAAGAGAUAGUCUUCUAUCCGUUUUCUUUUUUCUGUUUGCCAGAAAAGCUGUUUUCUUUCGUAAAAGCUGUUUGCUGGCUGUUUUCAUUACCCUUUCGCAUCAACGCUAUUUGCAGUAGCUUCUUAUUUGGUGUACUGGAUCUGUAGUGGUGCCUUAUGUGGAUUUAAACAUUUAAUAUGCCUUUUCAUCUUAUUUUUUGUCUCAUUGCUGCUGUUUCAAUUAGUUAUGUCAUCAAGGACUCAGUUCUGCUUUGCCUUCCUUCCACAUACUGUGCAUAUUGUUCCACUCUGGGCAACGUUAUAAGGAAUUUAGUUUCACAUGUGUACAUGCACUUGUACUUCGCCAAUAAACAUAACUUUGUCGUCA